CCUUCUUUAAAGCUUCAGCAGCGUUCCUCAUUUCACUGGAGUUGUAGUGGCAGGCUCACCGGCGUACUACAGUUGCUCGCCAGCUCAACCAUGGCUUUAAUAAUGAGGGUACUUCAAUUGUCUCUACUCCUUGAUGUAGGGUGUCAAGUACAUGCUUACAGGAUCGGGUAUGCUGAGCCGGAGAUGCCUACGUAUGGGCUGCAGCAGCCUCCUAGCUACAAUUCCCAGCAGCAGUUGGAACAACCUCCUAGCUACCAGCCCCAGCCACAGCAACCUUCUAGCUACAAGCCACAGAAGCCUAGCUACGAUCACCCCCAGCAGCAGCAGCAUCUUAGCUACAAGCCGCAGCAGCAGAAUCCUAGCUACAAGCGCGAGCAGCAGCAUCC
Molecule: long non-coding RNA, 386 nt
Organism: Gadus morhua (Atlantic cod)
Lineage: Eukaryota; Metazoa; Chordata; Actinopteri; Gadiformes; Gadidae
Exons: 3
Source: RefSeq, a predicted model, not a curated record